GAUGAACGCUGGCGGCGUGCCUAAUACAUGCAAGUCGAGCGAACAGACGAGGAGCUUGCUCCUCUGACGUUAGCGGCGGACGGGUGAGUAACACGUGGAUAACCUACCUAUAAGACUGGGAUAACUUCGGGAAACCGGAGCUAAUACCGGAUAAUAUAUUGAACCGCAUGGUUCAAUAGUGAAAGACGGUUUUGCUGUCACUUAUAGAUGGAUCCGCGCCGCAUUAGCUAGUUGGUAAGGUAACGGCUUACCAAGGCGACGAUGCGUAGCCGACCUGAGAGGGUGAUCGGCCACACUGGAACUGAGACACGGUCCAGACUCCUACGGGAGGCAGCAGUAGGGAAUCUUCCGCAAAGGGCGAAAGCAUGACGGAGCAACGCCGCGUGAGUGAUGAAGGUCUUCGGAUCGUAAAACUCUGUUAUUAGGGAAGAACAAAUGUGUAAGUAACUAUGCACGUCUUGACGGUACCUAAUCAGAAAGCCACGGCUAACUACGUG
This 497-nucleotide ribosomal RNA is filed under the name uncultured bacterium. RNAcentral's name for it is "partial 16S ribosomal RNA". It matches the Rfam family "Bacterial small subunit ribosomal RNA", at positions 28 to 507 of the family's 1533-position model. The record is from RNAcentral.